UGUCAGCACUUGUUAUUAUUAUUAUCGUCAUGUUUGUCUCGUUAGUAUGUUUAGUGGUCUUCAUGUUCAUUAAAUAAUGUAUUGGUCUCAUCGUUACGAUGAACGUGACAAUGGGUGUGUGGUACCCUUCCUCACCAUGCCAACAAAAUGUUACUUCUUGUGGGGUCUUUGCCUUGGAAUUUGCUGAAUGUGUUCUGAAGGAGGAGUCGAUUGUCUUUUUCAAAUGGGGACAAAAAUGUUAACAUCAUGAGAGAGGAAAUAGCAGUCACACUCUUCAAACACUGACUACUAGACAUUAUGACAUUGCUAGAUGACCUGAGCCAACUGUGCCACUGUGGGGAGAUGGACAAUGAAGACACUAACUGGAUUGGUUGUGUCCGCUGCCCACGAUGGUUCCAACAGUCCUGUAUGAAAACCAUCCCACCAUUGGAGGAUAAUGUCUGCGCUGCCUGUCAGGACUAGGUUAGGCUUGAGUUUCAUAAAUAUAGAGAUUAAACUUUCCAUAAAAAUUGGAUUAAUGUUCAGUUGAGCUGUUGCAGCUUUUCAAUAUUUGUUUAUGCUAUUUAUUGUCAUUUAAUAUCUUAUUAUGCAAAGAUUGAAAUUUGUAUUUCAUAUUUUUUAUUUAUUUUUAUUUUACCUUUAUUUAACCAGGUAGGCAAGUUGAGAACAAGUUCUCAUUUACA
Molecule: long non-coding RNA, 683 nt
Organism: Oncorhynchus kisutch (coho salmon)
Lineage: Eukaryota; Metazoa; Chordata; Actinopteri; Salmoniformes; Salmonidae
Exons: 4
Source: RefSeq, a predicted model, not a curated record